RNAcentral lists this ribosomal RNA (728 nucleotides) under uncultured marine eukaryote. Its description in RNAcentral is "SSU rRNA". It matches the Rfam family "Eukaryotic small subunit ribosomal RNA", at positions 452 to 1185 of the family's 1831-position model. The record is from RNAcentral.
CGACACGGGGAGGUAGUGACAAUAAAUACUGAUACAGGGCUCUUUUGGGUCUUGUAAUUGGAAUGAGUACAAUUUAAAUCCCUUAACGAGGAACAAUUGGAGGGCAAGUCUGGUGCCAGCAGCCGCGGUAAUUCCAGCCCCAAUAGCGUAUAUUAAAGUUGUUGCAGUUAAAAAGCUCGUAGUUGAACCUUGGGCCUGGCUGGCCGGUCCGCCUCACCGCGUGUACUGGUCCGGCCGGGCCUUUCCUUCUGGGGAACCUCAUGCCCUUCACUGGGCGUGUUGGGGAACCAGGACUUUUACUUUGAAAAAAUUAGAGUGUUCAAAGCAGGCCUUUGCUCGAAUACAUUAGCAUGGAAUAAUAGAAUAGGACGUGUGGUUCUAUUUUGUUGGUUUCUAGGACCGCCGUAAUGAUUAAUAGGGAUAGUCGGGGGCAUCAGUAUUCAAUCGUCAGAGGUGAGAUUCUUGGAUUGAUUGAAGACUAACUACUGCGAAAGCAUUUGCCAAGGAUGUUUUCAUUAAUCAAGAACGAAAGUUGGGGGCUCGAAGACGAUCAGAUACCGUCCUAGUCUCAACCAUAAACGAUGCCGACCAGGGAUCGGCGGAUGUUGCUUAUAGGACUCCGCCGGCACCUUAUGAGAAAUCAAAGUUUUUGGGUUCCGGGGGGAGUAUGGUCGCAAGGCUGAAACUUAAAGGAAUUGACGGAAGGGCACCACCAGGAGUGGAGCCUG